Acanthopagrus latus (yellowfin seabream) is the source of this 834-nucleotide long non-coding RNA. RefSeq lists it as uncharacterized. The transcript is spliced from 3 exons. Lineage: Eukaryota; Metazoa; Chordata; Actinopteri; Spariformes; Sparidae. The record is from RefSeq and is a predicted model, not a curated record.
UUUGUGCUCGCUCUCAAGUCUCUGCUAGCAUCUCUUACCAUAGCUUGCAUCUAGCUAACCAGUCAGCCAGUCAGCUAAACAGUCAUGUGUCCUCCACGUCACUCAUUCAUCUUUCCUGGAUGCCACAGUGUGCAGGGUAACGGCGCCCUUAGCUUAUUUAAGUUUCGUAUGGACUACAACAUAAGGAAACGGUUGAUCGAUUUUGUGAAGCGGAGCUAGUGUGGAGAGUUCAAAAUCACCACCAACACCUGUCUCUGCAGUGUCCACUUUACCCCUGAUAGUUACAGCAACUGUCACCAGGUAAAGUCUGGAUUCCUGAAGAGUCCGUUGACGCUGGUCAGUGGGGCUGACCCGACCCUCUCCACCCGUGGCUUGCAUCCUCUUGUCCCCCGACAGCAGGUGCCACCAUCACGGCCACCGGCAUUAUGUGCCCGCCUGCGACCCUCUCCGUCCCGCCGCAGCGGGUGCUCUCAUCUCCGCCACCAGCAUUAUGUGCUUGCCAGAGAGUAUGUUAGUUGCUUUUAUACAGAGAAAGACGGGAGCAGCUAGCUCAGACAGAGUCAAUAUGCACUCGUCAUCGGUGACUGAGGAGACCAGCAAAACGCUACUGUCAAGUACUCACUGUUCGCUCUUUCUUUCUCCCCCCUUUUCUUUCUCAACAUCCACUGUUAUUGUUCACGUGCAAAAGACUUAUUUUCAAGCUAGACUGUUACACUGUUCUAGAUGCUAUUUCAAUUCAAUGUCUGAGGUUAUGCUCAUGAGUCCAGUAAAGCCUAUCACUAAUGACUGUAUUGGAGACAGUUUCUUCCAAAUAUGGAAAUGCAAUACCUUCUC